This 497-nucleotide ribosomal RNA is filed under the name uncultured bacterium. Its description in RNAcentral is "partial 16S ribosomal RNA". It matches the Rfam family "Bacterial small subunit ribosomal RNA", at positions 28 to 507 of the family's 1533-position model. The record is from RNAcentral.
GAUGAACGCUGGCGGCGUGCCUAAUACAUGCAAGUCGAGCGAACAGACGAGGAGCUUGCUCCUCUGACGUUAGCGGCGGACGGGUGAGUAACACGUGGAUAACCUACCUAUAAGACUGGGAUAACUUCGGGAAACCGGAGCUAAUACCGGAUAAUAUAUUGAACCGCAUGGUUCAAUAGUGAAAGACGGUUUUGCUGUCACUUAUAGAUGGAUCCGCGCCGCAUUAGCUAGUUGGUAAGGUAACGGCUUACCAAGGCAACGAUGCGUACCCGACCUGAGAGGGUGAUCGGCCACACUGGAACUGAGACACGGUCCAGACUCCUACGGGAGGCAGCAGUAGGGAAUCUUCCGCAAUGGGCGAAAGCCUGACGGAGCAACGCCGCGUGAGUGAUGAAGGUCUUCGGAUCGUAAAACUCUGUUAUUAGGGAAGAACAAAUGUGUAAGUAACUAUGCACGUCUUGACGGUACCUAAUCAGAAAGCCACGGCUAACUACGUG